UUAAGAUCUACUGAAUGAGCACAACGAAAGCUCAGCUUCAAUAGGUCUCAGCAGACCAGGAGUAUUUCGAGCAAACUCCACCUCGGCCAGUCUUUGGAAAUCAUUUCUCAGCAGAUAUCGUUCAUCCCUCCUUGCUUAUUUUGUUAAUGAAAUCAAAGAAACUUGCAGGUAUUGUUCACCCCUCCUUACUCAUUUUGUUGACAAAUUCCAAGAUUGAUUUAUAACUUUAAGUGUUCAGAUUUUGUUUCGUGUCAGAUGCACAUGCCGUGUGUUGCUGCUGAUUUUUGAGUUUGUAAUGAACCAAACACUAUGCCUUUCAUAUGUUCAACUCUGCACUUCUUCAGGUCCCUUCCUUUUUUUUAUUCUAGCAACUUAACUUCUACUGCAUCCUCUAAAAGUUUCAUUGUCCAUUCAAAAUAUUUUUCAUCUCAGCUAUGUGAUCGCUGUGGCAUGUUAUUUAGACAAUUAGCCAGAUUUGUAUUGGAAGAUGAAGAUGCAGCCAAAAGGGUCUGACGGACUCCUUUUACCCUACAUGGAAACCAGAACUACAUAGAGAUCCCUAAAGGCACUGCAUCGGCAGUGGUUGGGACAAUGUAUGGGGUAACUAACUUCUUCAAUGUUGCUCUGAAUACAGUGUUAUGCUCUCACAUAAAUUCGAAGAAUUCUUUAAUGUAUUGUUUGUUUACCAUGAAAGCAAUUGGUUAUGAUUGGAAAUACAAUUCAAGUUGUGCAGAGCCUCCAAUGCAGUCUGGGAUUUUCAAAUCCAGUCUCUUUUUUAUCUUUCAUCACUCUCUCUCAUCACAGCUUGCUCAAUAAAAGGGAAAAUGAAGUUGCCAGUGUUGUAAAUACAGUUCUGGUGGUAUAUUCAAGGUCAGAAUCUCUAUUUUGAGUGGGAUCUGAUGAAUGGGGGUAUCAUUCUCAUGUCUCUUCGCCGAGAAAGAUGACGUGGAAGCUUCUCUAGACUCCCAGUUAAGUCCAUAAGCUCAGUGAUGACAAAGCGUGGAAAACUUUAAAGAAAUCUGUCAAGGAGGAAUGAAGAAUACUCUAGAGCCCACGAUCUUGAAGUGGUAAAAUGGUUGUUAAGAAAUCCGUUCACUUCAAACGGAUGCAACUUGGAGAAAUUGAUCACGCUUAACAUGUCUGUCUUGAAAGAAGAUUACACAAAAUAGAAUGGCUUUGAGUUGACUUUGAGUUAACCAAUCUCGGGUUUGUUAGAGAAAUCUCAGUUUUUGAUCAGAGGAACCCCAAACACGAAGCUGCUAUUAAUUUACAGAAAAUGUACAAAAGCUUUCGUACCAGGUGAAAGCUCGCGGAUUGUGUAGUGCUCGUUGAGGAAACUGCAAGCUCUUAGAUUUUGGUGAGCUGAAGAGAAGUUGUAUAUCAUUCUUUGAUAUUAAGAAACAUGAAAUCGCGAAUUCAGGUGGCCUAGAUCUUGGACAAGAGCAGCUAAGUUUGGCAAAGGUUUGUUAAAGAAUGGAAAGGCACAAAAGCUUGCUUUACAACACUCGCUUGAGGCUGUCAGUUAUAGAGAGACUAAUCUCAGUUUCAGUUUCCUUUUUUUUUUAAUUCUACUUUUUGGAUUGAGCCUAAUCUGAUCUUGGUUUAUGCACUUUGUUGCAACAUAUUGACCCUUAGACAUUGGUAUGGACACAAUAUUUAUUUUUACUACAAGUUGCUCCGCUGUCAGAGUAGAGUCCCUUACUUCUACUGGUUUGAUAUUGACGAGGGGGAAGAAGUAAACCUUGUGGAGAAGUGUCCUCAAUUGAAACUUCAGCAACAGUGCAUCAAUCACAUUGGUCCGCUUCUAAGGUUGCUGUGGAAAACGAGAAAUUCUUCUACAAGAACAGUGGAGAAAUGCUUUAAACUUCUUCUAUGGAAGAUAGUGAUUCCAAAUGGAUUUGGUGCUCAACACAUCGACAGUGUUGUACGUUGGGGAGAAGAAGGGUACGUUUCAACAUUCAAGCUUCUUAGCUGGAGAAGCAACUGUUGAUGCAUGAAGAUUUGUUGUUGAGAAUGGUGUUCUUAAAGACAUCAAUCAUUAAACUAUCUUUGUAAGCAAAAUCAACUCAUAUUUUUUAAGAAUCCCUUAAGAUUCUUUAAAACCCUAAAUAAAAACUUUAAUGUCAGUUAAAAAUGUCAAAUCAGUGAUUCUUAAGUCAAAAACAAUGUUUAAAUCAAUUAUGAUUAACAAAUUAGUUUUAUGAGAAACCAAAUAUGUAAAAUAAAAGACAUCUUCAUUAACCAAAAUUUAGUUAAGUCUUUAUUCAAUUUGCUC
This is a long non-coding RNA of Brassica napus (rape), 2275 nucleotides long. RefSeq lists it as uncharacterized. NCBI's taxonomy places the organism in Eukaryota, Viridiplantae, Streptophyta, Magnoliopsida, Brassicales, Brassicaceae. The record is from RefSeq and is a predicted model, not a curated record. The transcript has 5 exons.